This 457-nucleotide ribosomal RNA is filed under the name uncultured Planctomycetaceae bacterium. RNAcentral describes it as "bacterial SSU rRNA". It matches the Rfam family "Bacterial small subunit ribosomal RNA", at positions 29 to 505 of the family's 1533-position model. Lineage: Bacteria; Pseudomonadati; Planctomycetota; Planctomycetia; Planctomycetales; Planctomycetaceae. The record is from RNAcentral.
AAUGAACGUUGGCGGCGUGGAUUAGGCAUGCAAGUCGAGCGAGAAGUUUCUUUAUGCUUGCAUAAAGAAACGGACAGCGGCGAAAGGGAGAGUAACGCGUAGAUACCUACCCCAGGAUUCGGGAUAGCGGGGGGAAACCGCCGGUAAUACCGAAUAAUGUCCCCGGACCAAAGAUUUAUCGUCCUGGGAGGGGUCUGCGUCCUACUAGCUUGUUGGUGGGGUAAAAGCCUACCAAGGCUAAGAUGGGUAGCGGGUGUGAGAGCAUGGCCCGUCUCACUGGGACUGAGACACUGCCCAGACACCUACGGGUGGCUGCAGUCGAGAAUCUUCCGCAAUGGACGAAAGUCUGACGGAGCGACGCCGCGUGCGGGAUGAAGGCCUUCGGGUUGUAAACCGCUGUCGGAGGGAAGGAAAUGGAAACUUGACCGAACCUCGGAGGAAGCGCAGGCUAAGUUCG